RNAcentral lists this long non-coding RNA (325 nucleotides) under Pan troglodytes (chimpanzee). Its description in RNAcentral is "long non-coding RNA NONPTRT011204". The record is from RNAcentral. Lineage: Eukaryota; Metazoa; Chordata; Mammalia; Primates; Hominidae.
GCCAUAUGAAGUGAAAACUAAAAUUACAGGAAAAUUUAGGAACCCACAUGCCCUUUUUGGCCUCGAUGGGCAGAAAUGGCAGAGGUUCAAGGGGGGAGAUGCUAAGAUUCAUGUUUUGGGGCAAAUUAAAUUCUCCAAAAGGGACAUAUAUGCAGCUUGGAGGAACUGGAGGGCUAGGGUGGAGAGCCAAGGAAGCUGGAGAAGCCAAUCAGACGGGGAGUGGAGUGUGCUGCUGUGAGGCCACUCAUGGGCUGGGUGUCCGUGGCUCUGGGCAGACCUCUCAUGACUGGUUCAGCGGAGCCCAGGGGACUGGGAACUGAACAGC